GAGGGUUUGUUGUUCGUACAAGAACAAGAUUGAUGAUAAGGUCUUGUUCGUUAACCGUGUUAGUUUUCUGGGUCAAAACCGAAGUGCAAAUCUGAGAAAAGCUCAGCUUCGAUUUUGCACCAAAGCUUCUGUUCAAUCUCAACCUCUCCCAUCCGACAGAGAUUCGGGUCCUUUAUCUUCUGCCAGACCCAAAUCGGUAAUUUUCUUCUUCUUUUCUUUACUUUUUAUUUAAAUUAAAAAAAAAAUUCUAGCAAUACUUUGCAGAGCUUGAUGUGUGUAUAUAUAUAUAUAUAUAUCUGAGAAAAGUAUAUCAAAUUUCAUUUUGUCCUAUGAAUUUAAUUUUGUUUGAUUUUGGUGCUUGCUUGUGUUUUUAAUAGAAAAUUUUCAGAUGUGUCUCCUGUAUGGCGAAUAUAUGUUUUAUGUAUAAGUGGGUACCGUAACCCAAAUUUAUUAACCUCUACUUCGGUUUAGCUUAAUCUUGAGGUAACUCCAGGUUCCAUGCUUUAUAAAUCAUAUUAUUUUAGCUAGUAUUGGAUUGGGUUACAUUGAUCUUUAACCAAAAUCGUCAGUAAACAUGUCCUAAAGUAAAAUUAAUUAUUAUGAAUAAGACAUAAAACAGAAAUUACAAUUACAGUUGUGAUGACCUCAGACUCUGAACUCAUAAAAAACUGAUUAUCGCUUGUUGGAAGUUAUGCAAACAAUAGGGGAACGAAUCAACGAAAGGAUUGCAAUAUAUAAAACGAGUAAUUUAUUCGUCAAAUUCUGUUAAACUCUUAGGACACUCUUUCAUAGAUUCUGUUUGAUUGAUUUUAACAGUAGUUCUUGUGUCGUUGCAGCUUGAUGCUGUAAGAUUAUUCGUUGGGCUUCCCUUGGAUACAGUUUCUGAUGCCAAUACAGUGAACCAUGCAAAAGCUAUUGCAGCUGGACUUAAAGCUUUGAAGCUGUUGGGAGUGGAAGGCGUUGAGCUACCAGUUUGGUGGGGAGUAGCAGAGAAGGAAGCCAUGGGAAAGUACAAUUGGUCUGGCUACCUUGCUGUUGCAGAGAUGGUUGAAAAAAUAGGUCUCAAGCUUCAUGUGUCACUCUGCUUCCAUGCUUUGAAACAGCCAAAAAUUCCACUCCCCGAUUGGGUCUCCCAAAUUGGUGAGUCCCAAUCAAGCAUCUUUUACACAGAUCAGUCAGGGCAGCAAUUCAAAGGUUGCCUAUCAUUGGCUGUUGAUGAUCUUCCAGUUCUUCAUGGGAAAACUCCAAUUCAAGUGUACCAAGAAUUUUGCGAGAGCUUUAAGUCUUCGUUCAAGCCUUUCAUGGGCACGACAAUUACUGUAAGAAGUUUCGAUUUCAAGCAGUGUCGAGUACAUACUAUCUUAGAUUUGCAUCUUUUACGGGAUACUGACGUUGUUUCUACUUUGCAAUUUGAUUCAUUGCAGGGCAUCUCGAUGGGUCUAGGACCAGAUGGUGAACUUCGGUAUCCAUCUCACCACCGACUAGCCAAAAGUAGCAAAAUCCCUGGAGUUGGAGAAUUCCAGUGUUGUGACAG
This 1534-nucleotide long non-coding RNA is filed under the name Citrus sinensis (sweet orange). RNAcentral's name for it is "long non-coding RNA (CSIN_LNC003751)". The record is from RNAcentral. Lineage: Eukaryota; Viridiplantae; Streptophyta; Magnoliopsida; Sapindales; Rutaceae.